UCCAGACUCCUACGGGAGGCAGCAGUGAGGAAUAUUGGUCAAUGGGCUUACGCCUGAACCAGCCAAGUCGCGUGAGGGAAGACUGCCCUAUGGGUUGUAAACCUCUUUUGUCAGGGAGCAACGCCGGCUACGUGUAGCCGGACCGAGAGUACCUGAAGAAAAAGCAUCGGCUAACUCCGUGCCAGCAGCCGCGGUAAUACGGAGGAUGCGAGCGUUAUCCGGAUUUAUUGGGUUUAAAGGGUGCGCAGGCGCCACGGCAAGCCGGCGGUCAAAUCGCGGGGCUCAACCUCGCUCCGCCGUUGAAACUGGCGUUCUUGAGUGGGCGAGAAGUAUGCGGAAUGCGUGGUGUAGCGGUGAAAUGCAUAGAUAUCACGCAGAACUCCGAUUGCGAAGGCAGCAUACCGGCGCCCAACUGACGCUGAAGCACGAAAGCGUGGGUAUCGAACAGGAUUAGAUACCCCGGUAAAA
Molecule: ribosomal RNA, 468 nt
Filed under: uncultured bacterium
Lineage: Bacteria
Description: bacterial SSU rRNA
Rfam family: Bacterial small subunit ribosomal RNA
Source: RNAcentral